CCUGACGCAGCGACGCCGCGUGUACGAUGAAGGCCCUAGGGUCGUAAAGUACUGUCAACGGGGACGAAAUCUCAUCGGCUAAUACCCGGUGAGGAUGACGGUACCUGUGGAGGAAGCACCGGCUAACUCUGUGCCAGCAGCCGCGGUAAUACAGAGGGUGCGAACGUUGCUCGGGUUUAUUGGGCGUAAAGCGCGUGUAGGCGGCCUAUUAGGUCGGUUGUGAAAGCCCACAGCUCAACUGUGGAAGUGCAACCGAAACCGGUAGGCUAGAGUCCCGGAGAGGAUGGCGGAAUUCCUAGUGUAGAGGUGAAAUUCGUAGAUAUUAGGAGGAACACCGGUGGCGAAGGCGGCCAUCUGGAAGGGUACUGACGCUGAGACGCGAAAGCGUGGGGAUCAAACAGGAUUAGAUACCCUGGUAGUCCACGCCGUAAACGCUGAACACUAGUUGUAGCGGGUAUUGACCCCUGCUGUGACGACGCUAACGCAUUAAGUGUUCCGCCUGGGGAGUACGGCCGCAAGGCUAAAACUCAAAGGAAUUGACGG
This 543-nucleotide ribosomal RNA is filed under the name uncultured bacterium. RNAcentral's name for it is "bacterial SSU rRNA". It matches the Rfam family "Bacterial small subunit ribosomal RNA", at positions 382 to 916 of the family's 1533-position model. The record is from RNAcentral.